Molecule: non-coding RNA, 72 nt
Organism: Octopus bimaculoides (California two-spot octopus)
Lineage: Eukaryota; Metazoa; Mollusca; Cephalopoda; Octopoda; Octopodidae
Source: Rfam
GGCAGUUUAGCUUAAAGAUAAAGCACUUGAUGCAUAAUCACAGGGAUGUGAGUUCGAGUCUCAUGGCUGGCU